This 258-nucleotide long non-coding RNA is filed under the name Lathyrus oleraceus (garden pea). RNAcentral describes it as "Pisum sativum (pea) long non-coding RNA (PSAT_LNC038149)". The record is from RNAcentral. Lineage: Eukaryota; Viridiplantae; Streptophyta; Magnoliopsida; Fabales; Fabaceae.
UCCAUUAUUCUUUCCAAUGUCACGCCCUCCUUGACCAAUUUUCCACUGUCCAGAAAAAACUUUGCAACCAAAUUCAUCAAAGUGGUAUCGCGGUCGGUGACAAUUACUUUUGGCGUGUCUUCUUUGUCCUCCAAAAUUGCCUGACAUGCCUCUAAAGCCCAAGUAACAUUUUCCUAUCUUUUGCUUUUCAAAAUUGCAAACCCAACAAAAUAAGUCUUCUAAGUAGAGGUAACACCAACAAUUCCCAAUAGUGGAAGC